Long non-coding RNA from Sander lucioperca (pikeperch), 1082 nucleotides. RefSeq lists it as uncharacterized. The transcript is spliced from 2 exons. NCBI's taxonomy places the organism in Eukaryota, Metazoa, Chordata, Actinopteri, Perciformes, Percidae. The record is from RefSeq and is a predicted model, not a curated record.
UUUUUAUGGAUGAGGCACACAAUAAUCCAAGGAAUAACAUGUUAAAGUAAGAACACUUAAGUCUGGUAUAGAAACCUGUUUGUGUGUAACAGUCAUUGUAAGUUGUUUGUGGAUAAUACAAAUACCUACUAUGAUGUUAAAAAAAAUCAAUUUUGAGCGACAUAAUGAUUUGUUUAAUCAGUUUGCAUUGUUGGAUUGGUAAAUAAGAUUCAUAAUGUACUUUAUACGACACAGUAUGCGGUCAAGGGUUUGAGCUCAUUAUCAGUAUCCAAUUACUUUGCAGUGGUGCAUCGCUAAUCAGUGUUAUUUUGUAAUACAUAAUAUCACGCUAAGGUUUUUCCUUCCUUGUGCCCACUUUUUUUUUUUUACUACAUAAUACAUACAAAUGUGCCUUUUGGAGGAAAUUAUUUUAAACCUGACCCUUUAUUUAUAAGUUGGUCAGCUGCACCUACACUGUUUAUUCUGUUUAAAAUAAUGUAUGACUACAUUCAACGACUGUAUUUUUAGGUUGUUGUAUAUUUUAACAAUAGUGGUAUGUAAUAACUAAAGGUUAUCACAGUAGACAGAUCAUGUUUAUUUUGUCCAUGUGGCACUUGGGAGCAAUGCAACUGUGUCUCUUGCUACGUGGCAGUACAUUUUGUGUGCGUGUGUGGCUAAGAGCAUGUAAAUAGAUGAGAGCAUGGUCCUGUUUUUGACCCCAGUUCAUUAAUGAAUAUUAUUAUUGAAUCAGGUCAUUUUUGGAAAGGGGGCCUGGGCCUGUGUGCAAAAGCAUCAGUUUAUUUUGGAUGCCUUUUGACUUUCUUGGCUCACAUGAGCCUAAGAAAACUAAGCAAGUAACUAAGAAAACAAGUUGCAGGAUAAAAAUACCUCGUGUUAACAUUUCAAGUGAAUGUUGAGCUUCAAUUUAAUCACUAUUUACAUUUUAAGGUAGGCUAAUGUGACUUUAUACGCCCAUCAGUUCCUUGCUAGUCUGGGUCCACCUUCCCUCCAGACUCAGGUUUAUGCAUUUCUUGCCCUUUGAUUUCCCAAACUCCAAAGAUAUUUAGGCUUCUUCUUUAUAGCUUUUUAGGUUUUUCACCAGA